Molecule: long non-coding RNA, 2184 nt
Filed under: Phaseolus vulgaris (common bean)
Lineage: Eukaryota; Viridiplantae; Streptophyta; Magnoliopsida; Fabales; Fabaceae
Description: long non-coding RNA (PVUL_LNC001794)
Source: RNAcentral
CCAGAUAUUUCAUCACUUUUUGAAAGUCUAAUUAAAAUGAUAAUUCAUUUAUUACAAAGUACGAGAGAGAGGUAGCAAGAGUUAUAGCAGUUUUUUUAAUCAAAGCUGAAGUUAACCAAAUUUGAAAUGCAACAUGUUUAAGCUUGAAAGGCAAAGUAAGUUACUUGUAAUGCUGAGACACUUCCCAAACCAGCUUAUCCAUGAAAUGACAUUUCUUGUCAAAUCCCCAGCCUGGGUGGAUCUGCAUCAUAUUUCAGACCAAGCAUAAAUAAUUUUGAGCAUUACUCAUUUACAGAAAGAAUCAUAUCAUAUACUGCACAUAAAGCAUCCAAAACAAACAACAGGUUUUUAACCUUCCGAGUUCCAUUGUAGUUCGUUUCAACAUAAGAAAACUACUUUAAAUUGAAUAUAUAACCAGCUAAGCAGUGACCCUAACCAACCACUAAAUAUCUCAUUGUCCAUCAUUAAAUUCAAUCAUUUAGUUAAUACUUUCUUCUUUCUUCUGCUGUACAUAAUUUCUUUAAGUUAGUAAAUUGUUUAUUUCUUCCAAAGAGGUGACUGCAGCAGCCACACGAAUAACAAAAACAAAAAGUUACAAACAUACCAUUUUAUAUAUGAUGCCCACUGAAAUAACAAAUAAAAACAAAACUAGGUGAACUUUUAGAGCACUGCAAAAGAAUAAUCCAGGAAAUUUUCACAAGUCCUAACUUUUCAGUUAUAAUCAAUCUCUUGUGCGAAGAAAAUUGUUAGCACACAAUUUUAUGCUUGUAAUUUUAAUGAAGAAUCUGCAGUCAGAUGUGGAUAACAGAAGGAUUAUAAAUCAAUCCCAGGACAAGGAAAUUAAUGCCAAACUCAAGAAAACAAAAUCCUCAACACAUCAAUAUUUGGACAUUAGAUUUAUUCACCAUCUGCAUCAUCUCUAACAUAUGGCCCUGUAUCAUCUGAAGCAUCUGCAUCCAUGAAUCGACCAAGCCUUUCAUCCAUAUCCCUCCCUCUGUUCCUCUUCCUGUGCCUCGGCCAAGCCCACCCCUCUCUCUAAACCCUCUUCCUCUUCUAGUGCCACCUACAUCAUCCUCCCCUUGUGACAAAAAGUUCCGUGCAUUCCAUUUAUAAAAGGAACCGUCGUCUUCUAACUUGUUCUUUCUUAACCUUUUCUACAUGGAAGAGCUUCCAUCUACUAAAGUCCUAAAAAAACCAUUGUAACUUUUGUAUUAUAAAGGAUAAUGUUAGAGUUUUAUCAAAAAGGUCACGACCUCAUGUUCACAUAUUUUAUUGUUGUACUAAAAGAGAUAUGUGUAAGGUGUGCUUUUUUUCUUUUUUUUUAUCUCUGUUGUAUCUUUUCUUCAGUUGACAGUAUCAUAUCAAAUAUACUAACUUUGACGGUACCAAAUAUAAAAUAUACUAGUUUUUUACAGUAUCAUAUCAUAUAAAAAAAAAUGUCCAUAAUGAAUGAUGAAUCACUAAAUAUCACCUGAUAGAACUAGGAAACAAUGUCACUUAAUCUCAAAAAAGCAGUUCUUCAUACAAAUUAAUUAGACGUAGAUGCAGUCUCGAACUGUGAUUUCAUCAAACAUGACCAAGAUUCAAACCACACAUUACUAUUUAAAGUUCUCUACAUUGUUUACAGACAAGCAGUCAUGCAAAAAUACCAUAUGGAAGAAAUCAAAAUUCUGCAAGUUGUGGACGAACCCCUUAGACAUACAAACAUGGGCAGACUUAUACACUUGAAAAUUUGAAGUUCGAAAUGUAAUGUGUUGCAGCUGGGUCAGUCGGGCAUGUAAUGUAUGUUGAGUUAGUAUCCGAUCCAGUACAUUGGAUUCAAUGUCUUCAUCCUGAGGUCGUUUAAUAUUACCAUUCACAACUAUAAUCAAAGUCCAAACAGUGACAUAAUACUUACCUUCAACAGGAAAAAGAUUGUUCAUAUCACAGACAAACGACAAAUAUAUUAAGACAAACAAUCAACUACUUUAGACCAUUUAAAUCAACUACCUUAACUUUGAAGAACUGUAAACACUGCCUUGCCUUCCCUUGGACUUUUAACAUUUCUCAAGUACUUGGCAAUUCACGGUGAUACAGUGAUGGAGCGGGAAGGGGAAGAACGCAGAGAAAACUAGGAAAAUAAGAGCUGGGAAAGAGAUAUAACAGAAUAGAAAAAAAAAACAACUUUUUAGGAUAAAAAUAACA